Molecule: long non-coding RNA, 334 nt
Filed under: Sorghum bicolor (sorghum)
Lineage: Eukaryota; Viridiplantae; Streptophyta; Magnoliopsida; Poales; Poaceae
Description: long non-coding RNA (SBIC_LNC012042)
Source: RNAcentral
ACUAAUCUUGGACGCUUUGUGUCAAAAUUCUUGAAAGUCGUUCCACUGUCUUCAAAAUCCAGUCUCUUUCUUUCUCCUUUAGAAGAAUGCUCCAUUUCUGCAUGAAGAUAAUUGAUCGAUGCACCACAACAUUAGGGUUCGAAAUAACCUUGUUGUUGAAAACAAAAUCAUUGUGAAUUAACCAUAAACUCCAGCAAAUACAAGCAAGCAAAAAGAUCAGAAAAUGUUGGAGAUUAGUUGGUAUUUGUGUCCAGAACAAAGCAUCAUGGAAAAUCCACCAACAAUAGUUCGCAAGGUGACAUUCGAAGAAAAUAUGUUGAGUUGUUUCUAAGUU